Molecule: long non-coding RNA, 462 nt
Organism: Daphnia magna
Lineage: Eukaryota; Metazoa; Arthropoda; Branchiopoda; Diplostraca; Daphniidae
Exons: 2
Source: RefSeq, a predicted model, not a curated record
AGUUAUAAUAACACAUCCCUUCCUUACCCAUUCUCGUUCCCUUUAUUUUCUUCGCCCCUUCCCUUUCUACAUGCAUUUAGACUUGUGUCAAGACAUUUCCUCCAAAAAAGGACACAAGUUUGGGCAUUCUUUCUAUAGAUGCAAUAGGCAAAACACGCAAGACUGAUAGGCCACCUGACCUCCCUCGACUGGCCUACAGCAGACAACAACAAAGUGUUGGAGUUUCUUAAUAGAUGCAACACAUCUAAACUAGAACGUGGCAAAGCUGACUUUACACAAAGCAAAGAAUAAGAGAUGUUUUUACUUACAUGUUCGACCCAAACAUUGGUAGUGAGAAUCUGGUUCUUCAGGUCCUGCAUGUUUGAAUAAAGAAAAGUUUUGAUUUUAAAAAGUGCAUGUCAAAUACGUUGCAUUGAAUUCUCAAUAUAAAGACAUGGGCUCACAAGGGAAAUGUAAUAACCU